Molecule: non-coding RNA, 87 nt
Organism: Pseudomonas cremoricolorata
Lineage: Bacteria; Pseudomonadati; Pseudomonadota; Gammaproteobacteria; Pseudomonadales; Pseudomonadaceae
Source: Rfam
UGUUAUGGCGGCUGUGCGUGGGAGACCUCCGGGUCUGCCGGUUUCCUUAUGUACCGGUUCGCCAACCUGCGCACAGCUGCCACCCUA